This 585-nucleotide ribosomal RNA is filed under the name uncultured bacterium. RNAcentral's name for it is "bacterial SSU rRNA". It matches the Rfam family "Bacterial small subunit ribosomal RNA", at positions 338 to 916 of the family's 1533-position model. The record is from RNAcentral.
CCUACGGGAGGCAGCAGUGGGGAAUUUUGGACAAUGGGCGCAAGCCUGAUCCAGCAAUGCCGCGUGAGUGAAGAAGGCCUUCGGGUUGUAAAGCUCUUUUGUCAGGGAAGAAACGGUGAGGGCUAAUAUCUCUUGCUAAUGACGGUGCCUGAAGAAUAAGCACCGGCUAACUACGUGCCAGCAGCCGCGGUAAUACGUAGGGUGCAAGCGUUAAUCGGAAUUACUGGGCGUAAAGCGUGCGCAGGCGGUUUUGUAAGUCUGUCGUGAAAUCCCCGGGCUCAACCUGGGAAUUGCGAUGGAGACUGCAAGGCUAGAAUCUGGCAGAGGGGGGUAGAAUUCCACGUGUAGCAGUGAAAUGCGUAGAGAUGUGGAGGAACACCGAUGGCGAAGGCAGCCCCCUGGGUCAAGAUUGACGCUCAUGCACGAAAGCGUGGGGAGCAAACAGGAUUAGAUACCCUGGUAGUCCACGCCCUAAACGAUGUCUACUAGUUGUCGGGUUUUAAUUAACUUGUAACGCAGCUAACGCGUGAAGUAGACCGCCUGGGGAGUACGGUCGCAAGAUUAAAACUCAAAUGAAAUUGACGG